AGGGUUCGAUUCUGGCUCAGGACGAACGCUGGCGGCGUGCCUAACACAUGCAAGUCGAGCGAUGAAGUUCUUCGGAACGGAUUAGCGGCGGACGGGUGAGUAACACGUGGGUAACCUGCCUUGUAGAGGGGGAUAGCCUUCCGAAAGGAAGAUUAAUACCGCAUAACAUCUUUUUAUCGCAUGGUAGAAAGAUCAAAGGAGCAAUCCGCUACAAGAUGGACCCGCGGCGCAUUAGCUAGUUGGUGAGGUAACGGCUCACCAAGGCGACGAUGCGUAGCCGACCUGAGAGGGUGAUCGGCCACAUUGGAACUGAGACACGGUCCAGACUCCUACGGGAGGCAGCAGUGGGGAAUAUUGCGCAAUGGGGGGAAAAACCCCCUGACGCAGCAACGCCGCGUGAAUGAAGAAGGCCUUAGGGUUGUAAAGUUCUGUUUACGGGGACGAUAAUGACGGUACCCGUGGAGGAAGCCACGGCUAACUACGUGCCAGCCGCAGC
This 496-nucleotide ribosomal RNA is filed under the name uncultured bacterium. RNAcentral describes it as "bacterial SSU rRNA". It matches the Rfam family "Bacterial small subunit ribosomal RNA", at positions 8 to 518 of the family's 1533-position model. The record is from RNAcentral.